RNAcentral lists this long non-coding RNA (3101 nucleotides) under Sus scrofa (pig). Its description in RNAcentral is "lncRNA (ENSSSCG00000042540.2, ENSSSCG00130002839.1)". Lineage: Eukaryota; Metazoa; Chordata; Mammalia; Artiodactyla; Suidae. The record is from RNAcentral.
UAUGUUCUCUCUAUACUCACCUUGGUAAGUUUUUAUCAUGAAUGGAUGUAGGACUUUGUCAGAUGCUUUCUCUGUAUCUAUUAGGAUGAUCAUGCGGUUUUUGAUUUUUCUUUUGUUAAUGUGGUAUAUGAUCUUUAUUGAUUUGCAUAUGUUGAGCCAUCCUUGUGCACCUGGGAUGAACCCCACCUGGUCAUGGUGUAGGAUCUUUUUAUAUUUUGCUGGAUUCAGUUGGCUAAAAUUUUGUUGAGAAUUUUUGUGUCUAUAUUCAUCAAAGAUAUUGGCCUAUAGUUUUCUUUUUGGGUGGUAUCUGUUUCUGGUUUUGGAAUUACGGUGAUGGUGGCAUCAUAGAAUGUAUUUGGGACUGAUCUUUCUGUUUCAACCUUUUGAAAGAAUUUAAGGAGAAUGGGUAUAAGUUCCUCUUUGUAUGUUUGGUAGAAUUCACCAAUUUGAAAAAGUUUAAAGAGGAUGGGUAUAAGUUCCUCUUUGUAUGUUUGGUAGAAUUUGGUGAAGCCAUCUGGUCCUGGACUUUUAUUUAUAGGGAGUGUUUUUAUGACAUAUUCAACUUCAUUUCUAGUGAUCGGUCUGUUCAGUUUUGGCAGUCUGUAAGACAAGGAUACCCACUCUCAUCACUGUUACUCAACACAGUACUGGAAGUCCUAGCCACAGCAAUCAGACAAACCAAAGAAAUAAAAGGCAUCCAUAUAGGAAGAGAAUAGGUAAAAUGGUUACUCUAUGCAGAUGACAUGAUACUAUAUAUAGAAAACCCUAAGGACUCAACCCCAAAACUGCUUGAACUGAUCAACAAAUUCAGCAAAGUAGCAGGAUAUACGAUUGACAUUCAGAAAUCAGUCACAUUUCUCUAUACUCACAAUGAAAUAUUAUAAAAGGAAUACAAAAGUACAAUACCUUUUCAAAUUGCACCCCCAAAAAUCAAAUAUCUGACAAUAUACCUGACCAAGGAGUUAAAGGACUUAUAUGCCGAGAACUAUAAAACAUUAAUCAAGGAAAUUAAAGAAGAUGUAAAGACUGGAAAGAUAUUCCAUGCUCCUGGGUUGGAAAAAUUAAUAUUGUAAAAAUGGACAUACUACCCAAAGCAAUUUAUAGAUUCAAUACAAUCCCUAUCAAAUUACCCAUAACAUUUUUCACAGAACUAGAACAAACAAUACAAAAAUUUAUAUGGAACAACAAAAGACCCAGAAUUGCCAAAGGAAUUCUGAGGAACAAAAACCAAGCAGGAGGCAUAAUUCUCCAAGAUGUCAGGUAAUAUUACAAAGCCACAGUUAUCAAGACAGUGUGGUACUGGUACCAAAACAGACAUACAGAUCAAUGGAACAGAAUAGAGAACCCAGAAAUAAACCCAGACAUCUAUGGUCAAUUAAUCUUUGACAAAGGUGGCAAGAACAUAAAAUGGGAAAAAGACAGUCUUUUCAGCAAAUAUUGUUGGGAAAUCUGGACAGCUGCAUGCAAAUCAAUGAAACUAGAACACACCCUCACACCAUGCAUGGAAAUAAACUCAAAAUGGCUAAAAGACUUAAAUAUAAGACAAGACACCAUCAAACUCCCAGAAGAGAACAUAGGCAAAACAUUUGAGGACAUCAACCUUACAAAUAUUUUCUGAGGUCAGUCUCCCAAAGCAACAGAAAUAAAAGCAAAAAUAAACCAAUGGGACCUAAUCAAACUGACAAGCUUUUGCACAGCAAAGGAAAUCAAAAAAGAAAAGAAAAAGACAACUUACAGAAUGGGAGAAAAUAGUGUCCAAUGAUGCAACUGACAAGGGCUUAAUCUCUAGAAUAUACAAGCAACUUGUACAAUUUAACAGCAAAAAAGCCAACAACCCAAUGGAAAAAAUGGGCAAAAGACCUGAAUGUACUGUUCUCCAAGGAAGAUAUACAGAUGGCCAACAAGCACAUGAAAAAAUGCUCAACAUCCCUGAUUAAUAGAGAAAUGCAAAUAAAAACUACCAUGAGAUACCACCUCACACCAGUCAGAAGGGCCAUCAUUAAGAAGUCCACAAAUAACAAAUGCUGGAGGGGCUGUGGACAAAAGGGAACCCUCCUGUACUGCUGAUGGGAAUCUAAGCUGGUACAAACACUACAGAGAACAGUAUGUAGGUACCUUAGAAAUCUAUACAUAUAACUACUAUAUAACCCAAAAAUCCCACUCUUGGGCAUAUAUAUCUGGACAAAACUUUCCUUGAAGAAGACACAUGCACCCGCAUGUCCAUUGCAGCACUAUUCCCAAUAGCCAAGACAUGAAAACAACCCAAAUGUCCAUCAACAGAUGAUUGUAUUAGGAAGAUGUCAUAUAUAUAUACACAAUGGAAUACUACUCAGCCAUAAAAAAGAAUGACAUAAUGCCAUUUGCAGCAACAUGGAUGGACCUAGAGACUCUCAUACUGAGUGAAGGAAGUCAGAAGGAGAAAGACAAAUACCAUAUGAUAUCACUCAUAUCUGGAAUCUAAUAUAAGGCAGAAAUGAAUGUUUUCACAGAAAAGAAAAUCAUGGACUUGGAGAAUAGACUUGUGGUUGCCAAUGGGCAGGUGGAGGAAGUGGGAUGGAUUGGGAGCUUGGCGUUAAUAGAUGCAAACUAUUGCUAUUGGAAUAGAUUAGCAAUGAGAUCCUGCUGUGUAGCACUGAGAACUAUGUCUAUUCACUUAUGAUGGAGCAUGAGAAUGUGCGAAAAUAGAAUGUGUACCUGUAUGUGUAACUGGGUCACCAUGUUGAACAGUAGAAAAAAUUGUAUUGGGGAAAUAACAAUAAAAAAUUUAAAAAAGAAAAAAGAGAAAAAAGGAAAAUAAAUAAUUUAUAUAUAUACAUACAUAUAUGUAUGAGUAUGUAUAUAAAUAUAUCUAACUGAAUCAUUUUGCUGUACUGCAAAAAUUAACACAAGAUUGUAAAUCAACUAUAAUUCAAUAAAAUAAAAAAAUGAUGAAGAUUAGUAAGAUGGAAAAUAGGGAAACCUGUAAGUACAGAAUACAUGGAGACAUCCUACCGCAGAAAGAACUUCUGAGAGGAAACCCUGAGAAACACAUACCGUCAAAGAGCAAAAUGACAUUGGUGGAUAUAGUAUUAGGGAAGAAACAAACUAUGUUCCACGUUUGG